RNAcentral lists this non-coding RNA (549 nucleotides) under Pan troglodytes (chimpanzee). Lineage: Eukaryota; Metazoa; Chordata; Mammalia; Primates; Hominidae. The record is from RNAcentral.
GGUUUCUCCCAGCAAAGCUUGGAGGGUUUAGCUGCGCGGAGAGCUCAGCGAGCUCUUCUGUGUCUGUUUGGGGCGUGUGGGCUCCGGGAGCGUGAGGACCGGGAAGCUAGGAGGCUCCUUCCCUUCUGGCGGCUCCCUCACUGAGACCGGGCGGUUUGGUUGCGGGGGAAGUGGAGACGAGCCGCCCUUGACCUUUGACUGCAAGAACUCGCCUUGAGCAGGAUAGAGGCACGUGGACGGUGACCCUCGGGAUGCAAUAAAUGCUGAGACAGAUCAGCAAACAUUGAGUGGGCCAGACACUGUUCUGAAAAAUACGCAGUCGACUUUUGAACAGCACAGGCUUGAACUGCAUGCGGCCACUAAUACUCGGACUUUCUUCUGCCUUUGCCACCCCUAAGACAGCAAGACCCACCCCUCCUGCUCCUCAGCCUACUCGAUGUGAUGAUGAAUAGAGUUUAAAACUAUGCAGCCACAGAGGCGGACAGCUUUCCGUGGAAAAGAGUAGAUCUUUCAUGGAUGGUUGAAGUUGACAGGCAGGCAUCCUGUCUU